GAAGCAAAAUUGACCUCACAGAAACAAAUCAAACCAACCACCACCACAAAAGCAGUCGCCAGAAGAACCUGGUUUCUGUGUUAUCACCGCAAUACUAGUAUCAUCCUUGCUACACUUUUACAUUUGGGUACCAAGAUGCAAUGGGCAGAAGUGUUUGGAGCUCUCCCCUGGAACUGGUAACUGGUACACAGCGUUCUGCUUCACAAUGAUGUCUUUAACCAACAGCCAGUGAAGACCUGAGGUUUGCCAACAACCACAUGAGUGGCCAAGGAAGCUGAUCUUUCCUCAGCUGAGCAUUGAGAUGACGGCAGCCCUGGCUGACACUUGAUUACAUCCCAUGAGAGAUCCUGAGCCAGAGACUCCCAGCAAGGCUGUGUUCAGACUGCUGCCCCACGAAAACAGGGAAAUAGUGAAUACUUGCUGUUUUUAGUUGCAAAGAUCUGGGUUUUGGGAUUCGGACUGGCUCUCCUUGCUCCUCAGCUUGCAGACGGCCUAUUAUGGGAC
Molecule: long non-coding RNA, 504 nt
Organism: Symphalangus syndactylus (siamang)
Lineage: Eukaryota; Metazoa; Chordata; Mammalia; Primates; Hylobatidae
Source: RefSeq, a predicted model, not a curated record